Molecule: ribosomal RNA, 116 nt
Filed under: Castor canadensis (American beaver)
Lineage: Eukaryota; Metazoa; Chordata; Mammalia; Rodentia; Castoridae
Source: RNAcentral
ACCUAGGGCCACGCCACCCUGAACACACCUGAUUUCAUCUGAUCUCGGAAGCUAAGCAGGGUUGGGCCUGGUUAGUAUUUGGAUGGGAGACACUGAGCAGAGCAGGUCCCCAGACU